AGUGAACGCUGGCGGUAGGCCUAACACAUGCAAGUCGAACGGCAGCACAGUAAGAGCUUGCUCUUACGGGUGGCGAGUGGCGGACGGGUGAGGAAUACAUCGGAAUCUACUUUUUCGUGGGGGAUAACGUAGGGAAACUUACGCUAAUACCGCAUACGACCUACGGGUGAAAGCAGGGGAUCUUCGGGCCUUGCGCGAUUGAAUGAGCCGAUGUCGGAUUAGCUAGUUGGCGGGGUAAAGGCCCACCAAGGCGACGAUCCGUAGCUGGUCUGAGAGGAUGAUCAGCAACACUGGAACGAAGACAAGGUCCAGACUCCUACGGGAGGAAGCAGUGGGGAAUAUUGGACAAUGGGCGCAAGCCUGAUCCAGCCAUACCGCGUGGGUGAAGAAGGCCUUCGGGUUGUAAAGCCCUUUUGUUGGGAAAGAAAAGCAGCAGGUUAAUACGCCGCUGUUCUGACGGUACCCAAAGAAUAAGCACCGGCUAACUUCGUG
RNAcentral lists this ribosomal RNA (492 nucleotides) under uncultured bacterium. RNAcentral's name for it is "partial 16S ribosomal RNA". It matches the Rfam family "Bacterial small subunit ribosomal RNA", at positions 29 to 507 of the family's 1533-position model. The record is from RNAcentral.